RNAcentral lists this ribosomal RNA (252 nucleotides) under uncultured bacterium. RNAcentral's name for it is "partial 16S ribosomal RNA". It matches the Rfam family "Bacterial small subunit ribosomal RNA", at positions 524 to 776 of the family's 1533-position model. The record is from RNAcentral.
UACGUAGGGUGCAAGCGUUAAUCGGAAUUACUGGGCGUAAAGCGUGCGCAGGCGGUUGUGUAAGACAGAUGUGAAAUCCCCGGGCUCAACCUGGGAACUGCAUUUGUGACUGCACAGCUGGAGUGCGGCAGAGGGGGAUGGAAUUCCGCGUGUAGCAGUGAAAUGCGUAGAUAUGCGGAGGAACACCGAUGCGAAGGCAAUCCCCUGGGCCUGCACUGACGCUCAUGCACGAAAGCGUGGGGAGCAAACAGG